RNAcentral lists this ribosomal RNA (467 nucleotides) under uncultured bacterium. RNAcentral's name for it is "partial 16S ribosomal RNA". It matches the Rfam family "Bacterial small subunit ribosomal RNA", at positions 28 to 507 of the family's 1533-position model. The record is from RNAcentral.
GACGAACGCUGGCGGCGUGCUUAACACAUGCAAGUCGAACGGAAAGGCCCUGCUUUUGUGGGGUGCUCGAGUGGCGAACGGGUGAGUAACACGUGAGUAACCUGCCCUUGACUUUGGGAUAACUUCAGGAAACUGGGGCUAAUACCGGAUAGGAGCUCCUGCUGCAUGGUGGGGGUUGGAAAGUUUCGGCGGUUGGGGAUGGACUCGCGGCUUAUCAGCUUGUUGGUGGGGUAGUGGAUUCCCAAGGUUUUGACGGGUAGCCAGCCUGAGAGGGUGACCGGCUACAUGGGGAUGGGGGAGGGGCCAGGCGCGAAGCGGGAGCAAUGGGGGGGAAAUUUACGGAAAGGGGCGGAGGGUGUGAGGAACAACCGCGGAGCGGAAAGGACGGCUUUUGGGGUAGAAACGGUUUUGACGUGUCGAAGCGCGGGGGGACGGGAACUGGUAAAAAAGCCACGGCUAACUUAGUG